UACGUAGGGUCCAAGCGUUAUCCGGAGUUACUGGGCGUAAAGCGUGCGCAGGCGGCGUGUUAAGUGAGGUGUGAAAUCUGGCGGCUCAACCGUGUAGAUUGCAUCUCAUACUGGCAUGCUAGAGUGAGGCAGAGGCAAGUGGAAUUGGCAGUGUAGCAGUGAAAUGCGUAGAUAUUGCCAGGAACACCAAUGGCGAAGGCAGCUUGCUGGGCCUCCACUGACGCUCAGGCACGAAAGCGUGGGGAGCGAACAGG
This 254-nucleotide ribosomal RNA is filed under the name uncultured bacterium. RNAcentral's name for it is "partial 16S ribosomal RNA". It matches the Rfam family "Bacterial small subunit ribosomal RNA", at positions 524 to 776 of the family's 1533-position model. The record is from RNAcentral.